AACGAACGCUGGCGGCAUGCCUAACACAUGCAAGUCGAACGAGACCUUCGGGUCUAGUGGCGCACGGGUGCGUAACGCGUGGGGACCUGCCCUUAGGUUCGGAAUAACUCCCCGACAGGGGUGCUAAUACCGGGUAAUGUCUGCGGACCAAAGAUUGGUCGCCUUUGGAUGGGCCCGCGUUGGAUUAGCUAGUUGGUAGGGUAAAAGCCUACCAAGGCGACGAUCCAUAGCUGGUCUGAGAGGAUGAUCAGCCACACUGGGACUGAGACACGGCCCAGACUCCUACGGGAGGCAGCAGUGGGGAAUAUUGGACAAUGGGCGAAAGCCUGAUCCAGCAAGGCCGCGUGAGUGAUGAAGGCCUUAGGGUUGUAAAGCUCUUUUACCCGGGAUGAUAAUGACAGUACCGGGAGAAUAAGCUCCGGCUAACUCCGUG
RNAcentral lists this ribosomal RNA (433 nucleotides) under uncultured bacterium. RNAcentral describes it as "partial 16S ribosomal RNA". It matches the Rfam family "Bacterial small subunit ribosomal RNA", at positions 29 to 507 of the family's 1533-position model. The record is from RNAcentral.